CGCGGCGUAGAGCAGCUCGGUAGCUCGCCAGACUCAUACUCUGGAGGUCGUGGGUUCAAAUCCCACCGCCGCAACUA
RNAcentral lists this transfer RNA (77 nucleotides) under Caulobacteraceae bacterium. Its description in RNAcentral is "tRNA-Met". It matches the Rfam family "tRNA". From Rfam's summary of the family: Transfer RNA (tRNA) molecules are approximately 80 nucleotides in length. Their secondary structure includes four short double-helical elements and three loops (D, anti-codon, and T loops). Lineage: Bacteria; Pseudomonadati; Pseudomonadota; Alphaproteobacteria; Caulobacterales; Caulobacteraceae. The record is from RNAcentral.